Molecule: ribosomal RNA, 253 nt
Filed under: uncultured bacterium
Lineage: Bacteria
Description: partial 16S ribosomal RNA
Rfam family: Bacterial small subunit ribosomal RNA
Source: RNAcentral
UACGGAGGGUGCGAGCGUUGUCCGGAAUCACUGGGCGUAAGGGGCGCGUAGGCGGCUUCGCUAGUCGGGCGUGAAAUGCCUGGGCUUAACCCGGGAAUUGCGUUCGAUACUUCGAGGCUAGAGUGUGGGAGAGGUUGGUGGAAUUCCCAGUGUAGAGGUGAAAUUCGUAGAUAUCAGGAGGAACACCGGUGGCGAAGGCGGCUACCUGGACAGAAACUGACGCUGAGGCGCGAAAGCUAGGGGAGCAAACAGG